This 1091-nucleotide long non-coding RNA is filed under the name Equus caballus (horse). RNAcentral's name for it is "lncRNA (ENSECAG00000057120.1)". The record is from RNAcentral. Lineage: Eukaryota; Metazoa; Chordata; Mammalia; Perissodactyla; Equidae.
CAAGAUUCUAAGAUGAAGUGCUGACAUGUGAAGGGAUAACAGGAUGGUCUGCCAGCUUGAUCAUGUACCCCAGCUGGUAUAAGAAAAAAUGGUUGGAGAGUAGAGGUUUCUUUGUGUGAGCUUUGUGUGAUAUUCCCUGCUCCCUCCUCACAGGAACAGAGGAGGCUUUACUUUUACCUCAAGCCAAUGAGCGAAGACUGAGGAGAUUUUGAUAUUUGAUAUCUGUGUCCCGGAGAUUGAGGGAGAUAGACAAUGGCAUUUGACUUAAGUCUGAGAAAUCCAAAGUGAAGAGGUAAAAAGAGAAUCCACUGGGGUAGUAGGCCCUUCCGCUCAAAUUGGGUCAUGUGGACAAAAUGACACUCCUUUCAAAGAACGGCCUCCUUCUCAUUCUCUGAAGAAAAAGGUUUGAGGGUGAAGGGAUCCUUUCCAUUUGACCUAUGUGAGAAUGUACAAUUUGCAAAGUAGGGAUUAUGUGCUAGAACUCCACAAGGUAUAGGGAAAAAUUGCAAGAGUUUUUGAGAUAGGUCAACCUAGUUUUGAAUCUGUUAUUGUUGUAAGAACAUACUAUUUCUGAAACUCAAUAUCCUUAUCUGUAGGUCGGGAAAUUACUCUCUAAGACUACUGUGAAGGAUAAAUGAAAUAAGAUGAAAAUGAGGCAGAUACAUAAAAUAACUGUGUGACCUUAAGUAAACUGCAAAUGUCUUGGGUCUCUGUCUCUCAGUUUGCCCAUCCCACUGUGUUGUCAAUGACACUUCCUGUCAAUGUUUGAAGUACAUAACAGGAAUUUUUUUAGGCAAGGCACAAAGUAUUGUUUUUUUAUAAAUGCUCAGUAAAUGUCAAGCCUGUAUUUUUUUGUGUCCAAAAUUAAAACUUUCGUUUUUGUUACAUAAGAAAGGUCCUUUUGGUGAGGGUAGGAAGGAUAUUUAAAUGGAAAGCUAUAUAUAUUAGGCCUGAAAAUUGUUAAUGACGUUAUUUAAAAUGACUAGAAAGGUACUUAAGGAAGGUAGCAGUUGUAGGCUUUCUUUUCUUAGGAAAUCAAUACUCAUAAAACUCAAGGAUGGAAUUGAGAAUUAAAAACCACAGUGAGUUUA